CUCCCUACAUCCUUUUCCUCAAAGGCAGUCAACCCUAGCUAGCUAUUUGUUACAAGAUGAAGCAUAUUUCCUUAAAUUAAGAUUACAGUGUCGAAUAUGUUUGAAAGAAAUGGAGUGUUUAGAACAUUGUGACUUUAAACCAGAAACACAUCCUAAAAUUGUCACUUUUGGUUUCAGCAGUCUUAUUGAGAUAUAUCUGACAUCUAGUCUGGAGUUCUCUUUUGGCACAGCAGGUUAAGGAUCAUCACUGCAGCAGCUUGGAACCCUGCUGUGGCACUGGUUCAAUUCCUGGCGCAGGAAAUUCCACAUUCUCCAGAAUUUUGAGGGGGUGUGCCAAAAAAAUUAACAUCCAAUCAGGUGUAUAUGUGGAAAGUCUAUAUGUGCACACCCAUGAAACCAUCACUAUACUCAAGAUAUUGAACAUAUCCAUAAUGCUGAAAAGUUUUCUCAUGCCUCUUUGUAUCCCUCCAUUCUCUCUCUCUCUCCCUUUCUAUUUCAGGCAAACACUGCUCUGCUUUUGGUCACUUCAGAUUAGUUUGCACUUUGUAGAAUUAUAUGUAAAUAUAAUAAGACAGUAUGAACUCUGUUUUUGUUUAGUCUUUUUUCACUCAAUGUGAUUGAGACCUGUCCAUGUUAUUACAUGUAUCCUCAGUUUAUUCAUUUUGUUGCUAAAUAGUAUUACACUGUAUGACUAUAGCAUAAUUUAUUUAUCCAUUAGCCUGCUGAUGUAUAUUUAGACUGUUUUCAUUUUGGAAUUAUUGCAGAUAAAGAUGCCCAGAAAAUCUGUGUACAAGUCACCACAUUCACAUGUUUCUUGGGAAAAUAUUUAAAAAUGAAAUGGCUGAAUCAUUUGGAAAGUUUAUGUUUAACUUUUUAGUAAACUGCCAAACUGUUUUCCAAAGUGGUUUUACCAUUUUACAUUCCUACUGGUGGUGUUUGAGAAUUCCAGUUGCUCUGCCUUAUUCAUAACACUUGCUAUUGUCUGUCUUUUAAAUGUUAUCUGUUCAAAUAUGUGUAUGGUGGUAUCUGACUGUGGUUUUAGUUUGCAUUUUCCUAGUCAAGAUGUUGACCAUCUUUUCAUGAACUGAACCUAUAUCCUUAAAUCUUCUUUAUCAUAGUGUUUUUCAUGAUUUUAUUUGCCAUCUGUAUAUCUUGCAUGGUGGAGUAAAUGUAUAUUCAAAUCUUUACUCAUUUCUUUUUUUGCUUCUUGUGAUAUAUCAUUUUGCAGGUCUUCACUGCAAAACUUUAUUUUUUCCAUUUUAUUAUGUUGAUUUACAAUGUUGUACCAAUUUCAGUUGUACAGCAAAGUGACUCGUAUAUAUAUACACACACACACACAUAUACACACAUAUAUAUGUGUAUAUAUAUAUAUAUACAUUCUUUUUUAAUAUAUAUGCUAUUUUCCAUCAUGGUCUAUUUGAUGUAGUUCUCUGUGCUAUACAGCAGGACCUUAUUGUCUAUCCAUUCUAUAUGUAAUGGUUUGCAUCUAUUAACCCCAAACUCCCAGUCAUCCCACUUCCUCCCUCUCUCUUGGCAAUCACAAGUCUGGUUUCCAUGUCUGUGAGUCUUUUUCUGUUUUGUGAUAGGUUCCUUAUACCAUAUUUUAUUUUAUUUUAUUUUUUAAGUUUUUAAAUUAUAGUUAUUUACAAUGUUCUGUCAAAUUCUGCUGUACAGCAAAUUGACCCAGUCAUAUAUAUAUACACAUCCUUUUUCUCAUAUUAUCUUCCAUCAUAUUCUAUCACAAGUGAUUGGAUGUAGUUCCCUGCACUAUACAGCAAGACCUCAUUGUUUAUCCAUUUUAUGUGUAAUAGUUUGCAUCUACUAACUUCAAACUCCCAGUCCAUCCCACUCCCUUCCCCUCCCCCUUAGCAACCACAAGUCUGUUCUCUAUGUCUGUAAGUCUGUUUCUGUUCAUUUGUGCCGUAUUUUAGAUUCCACGUAUAAGUGCUAUGUCCUCCUCUUUCUGACUUACUUCACUUAGUAUGAUAGUCUCUAGUUGCAUCCAUGUUGCUGCAAGUUGCAUAUUUCAUUCUCUUUUAAGGCUGAGUAGUAUUCCAUAGUAUGUAUGUACCACAUCUUAAUCCAUUCCUGUGUCACUGUACAUUUAGGUAAUUUUCAUGUCCUGGCUAUUGUGAGUGGUGAUGCAAUGAACAUAGGAAUACAUGUAUCUUUUUGAAUUAUAGUUUUGUUUGGAUAUAUACCCAGGAGUAGGAUUGCUGGAUCAUAUGGUAGUUCCAUAUUUAGUUUUCUGAGGAACCUCCAUACUGUUUUCCAUAGUGGUUGUACCAAUUACUGCUCAUUUCUUUUUAAGUUUCUUAUUGAUUUUUGAGAGUAGUAUAUAUAUUCUGUACAUAAGUCUUUUGUCAGCUAUGUGAAUCAUAAGUAUUGUCUUUCUUUGGCUUAUCUUUUCACUCUUUUAACAGUUAAAAGCCACUCCUUUAACUUUUAAACACCACUCUUUUCACCUUUGAAAGAGUGAAAAGUGCCUUUUUAAGAAAAGAAGUUUUUAAUUGUGAUAAAAUUCAAAUAAUCAAUUUGAUGUUUUUUUGAUCCAGGUUUUGGUAUUGUAUCCAAGAAAUCUUUGUCUAAGUCAAGGGCACAAAGAUUUUCAUCUUUUUUUUUUUUUUUUCCCCAGAAGCUUUAUAGUUUUAUUUUUUACAUUUAAAUCAUGAUUCAAAUGAGUUAAUCUUUGUGUAUAGUGUUAGUAUGAAUUGAACUUUAUUUUUUCCUCUCACCUCAUCUGUUCCUUUCUCUCAAAUAUUGCUGUCCUUCAUUGCUUGAUUCACAGUGUCUUAAAAACCAUUGUUUUAUAUAUUUUUCCCAGUUGCUUUUUUGAUUCAGAUGUCAAGGUAAAUUUGGUUUCUCUUACUCUACCUUGGCCAGAAAGAACACUCAAAAGUUCACUUCUAACUACUGAACAUAGACUACAUUUUGUGAUUCAAAGUGACCUAUUAUUUGAGAGUGAGUUGAAAAUUUUUAAGAACCUACAUGAGUUUUUAUUCAAAGAUAGGACAAGGGAUACCCACACUAAAGAAAUUUAACAGGGCAGUAAGACUCAAAUAUGAAUAUCUGCUCUGAGUUCUCUGUGUUACAUGUAAGUUACAUAACCUUCAAUACUAGAAUACUUACUGUUUAUACGCUUUUAAGAGAAGUUGAUAUUUGAGGCCUUGGUUAAUUAAUGCUUGAAAAUUAGGAGAUGUUUUCCAUUAUGAUUUAUAUAAGUAAUAGAAGUCCUAAGAAUGGCCUUUCAAAUCCCUCUUUGUAUAUUUAGGAAGUCUCAAGAAUUCCUUGAACCAGUCAUGCCAGCAUUGGGAAAACUGUAUUUAAGUAUGUACUAAAUACAUUCUGAUAUAAUAAAUUUGACAUUAUUUCUUUGAAAGUGUAUAAUAUUGAAGAAAAUGUAAAUUAUAAUUUCAAAAAGCAUUUCCAAAAUUUAAUAUGACAUAAUAGUACCUAUUCUGUACUGAAUUGUUCUUACUUCCUGGCCAUUUUCUUUCUUUUUUUGGGCUUCCCACUUUGUUAAUUUUUCCUAUAUUUAAAUCAUAGAUUUAUAUCUAAUUCUAAAAGGCUGUAUGAAGAUCAUCUUAAAAGAAAUCCAUUUUAACUGUCAGUCAUAAGAUUAACCUACUUUUAUUAAUUCAACUUAUGAUUAAAUUAUGAGAAAAGUGAAAGACUAGAACUAGUUGGUUGAUAGGUCUGAGGUGAAUUAGAUGAGUCUGUCAGUUUGGGAAACUGAUAUCAAAGGAUAGUCCACAUUACUGUACUAAAAUUGAUUCUCUCCUGCUAUUUUUUUUAAAUCAUUUGACUUCCUCUGAAAAGUUUUUAGGUGAACUGGAGGUCUUUUUGGUUGACUUACAUAUUGAAUUUAAAGAAAGUUCUGAAUUGAAAUUUAGUGUCCUAAGCUCGGUGCACGCCCUAGUAUUAUUCACCUUGAUGAUUGAGAAAUGAAACACUUGAUACUUUGCAAUGAAGUGAAAAGACUAGAAGUUUUAGAGUUUGAAAAUAUUUCAGAAGAGAAAACAGUGGGUAGUAGAAAGAUUAAAACUUCCAAGUGCAAUGGAUUAUAAUUUUGUCAUACAUAAAGUAAGAUUUUGGUUUGGUUUUAGUUUUCAUAAAAAUAGAUGAUGAUGCAUCUGUUAAAUUCAGAUAUUAAUAUUAUGUAUUAACCUUUUAUAAAAAAAAGAAAUCAUGUUAUGCUUUUGUUAGACUUGUAUAUUCCUAAAUCAUGGUAUUUUUUGCAAUUUGUUCUGAAGUGUGGUCUCUGCAAUAGUGUGCCUAUGUAACACUGAAAAUAGAGGUUUCUUAUCUUUAACUGCAUUCUUCCCCAAUUAUGUUAGAAAACACAAAAAAUUGUUAACUUGUACUAUUUUGAAAUUUUAUCCAGAGACACCCAGGAGUAUGUAAUAUUUAAAACACUGAAAUAAUAUCUAUAGCAUGAAAGUAUGUUAAUCAUAAAAAUAAUAACUCUUUUAGAAUAAUCUCUGAAAAGUAUAUUAUAAAACUCAAAACACCAUGGGAGAAAAUUGGAUACCAGUCAUUUAACCAUUAUCUCAAUUAAGAGAAAGUAAAUGGUAAAAUUAAUGUGGCUAAUUCCUUGACCUGUCAAUUCUUUAAUACUGAGAUGCCUUAUAUAGGUCCAAAUCAAUAAAUUAAACUGUAAAAUCAGAAUGUCAAUCUUUAAAUCUUCUAAGGUCAUUUUGUCACUUCACUCAUUUCAAAAAUAUAUGUAACUGAAAUUUGAAUAUGCAUAUAAAUAAUCUGGGAAUCUUGUUAAAUGAUGGGAGAUUGCUCAAGCAUAAAUUUGAGAUUGUCACAUCAUCUUCAGAGAUUGCUAGACUUCCCUACUUACACAGCCUGAAUACAAAUAAAUAAAAACAAAAUGAACAAAGAAAAUACAUGAAAACAAAGAAAAAAUGAAUUUAAAAAGCAAUUGUGAGGUGGGAUCAAGAUGGUAGAGGAGUAAGACUUGGCAGUCACAUUCUCCCACAAACACAACAUAAAAAAAUACAAAUGUAGAAUGGUUCAAACAGAACAUCUACUGAACACUGGCAGAAGACUUUAAACCUCCAAAAAGGGCAAGAAACACUCCACAUAACUGG
This 5099-nucleotide long non-coding RNA is filed under the name Sus scrofa (pig). RNAcentral's name for it is "lncRNA (ENSSSCG00000056622.1)". The record is from RNAcentral. Lineage: Eukaryota; Metazoa; Chordata; Mammalia; Artiodactyla; Suidae.